GCAGAACGCGAAGAACCUUACCAGGGCUUGAAUGCAUUAUGACAGGGGUGGAGACACCUUUUCCUUCGGGCAUUUUGCAAGGUGCUGCAUGGUUGUCGUCAGCUCGUGCCGUGAGGUGUCAGGUUAAGUCCUAUAACGAGCGCAACCCCUACCGUUAGUUGCCAGCGGGUCAUGCCGGGGACUCUAGCGGGACUGCCGGUGCAAACCGUGAGGAAGGUGGGGAUGACGUCAAAUCAUCACGGCCCUUACGUCCUGGGCCACACACGUGCUACAAUGGCCGGUACAGAGAGCGGCCACGCCGCAAGGCGGAGCGAAUCUACAAAACCGGUCACAGUUCGGAUCGGGGUCUGCAACCCGACCCGUGAAGCUGGAAUCGCUAGUAAUCGGAUAUCAGCCAUGAUCCGGUGAAUACGUUCCCGGGUCUUGUACACACCG
Molecule: ribosomal RNA, 435 nt
Filed under: uncultured bacterium
Lineage: Bacteria
Description: bacterial SSU rRNA
Rfam family: Bacterial small subunit ribosomal RNA
Source: RNAcentral